GCUGGCGGCGUGCCUAAUACAUGCAAGUCGAGCGGACCUUUUAAAAGCUUGCUUUUGAAAGGUCAGCGGCGGACGGGUGAGUAACACGUGGGCAACCUGCCUGUAAGACUGGGAUAACUUCGGGAAACCGGAGCUAAUACCGGAUAAUAUAAGGAACCUCCUGGUUCUUUAUUGAAAGAUGGUUUCGGCUAUCACUUACAGAUGGGCCCGCGGCGCAUUAGCUAGUUGGUGAGGUAAUGGCUCACCAAGGCGACGAUGCGUAGCCGACCUGAGAGGGUGAUCGGCCACACUGGGACUGAGACACGGCCCAGACUCCUACGGGAGGCAGCAGUAGGGAAUCUUCCACAAUGGACGAAAGUCUGAUGGAGCAACGCCGCGUGAGCGAUGAAGGCCUUCGGGUCGUAAAGCUCUGUUGUUAGGGAAGAACAAGUGCGAGAGUAACUGCUCGCACCUUGACGGUACCUAACCAGAAAGCCACGGCUAACUUCGUGCCAGCAGCCGCGGUAAUACGUAGGUGGCAAGCGUUGUCCGGAAUUAUUGGGCGUAAAGCGCGCGCAGGUGGUCCUUUAAGUCUGAUGUGAAAGCCCACGGCUCAACCGUGGAGGGUCAUUGGAAACUGGGGGACUUGAGUGCAGAAGAGGAAAGUGGAAUUCCAAGUGUAGCGGUGAAAUGCGUAGAGAUUUGGAGGAACACCAGUGGCGAAGGCGACUUUCUGGUCUGUAACUGACACUGAGGCGCGAAAGCGUGGGGAGCAAACAGGAUUAGAUACCCUGGUAGUCCACGCCGUAAACGAUGAGUGCUAAGUGUUAGAGGGUUUCCGCCCUUUAGUGCUGCAGCUAACGCAUUAAGCACUCCGCCUGGGGAGUACGGUCGCAAGACUGAAACUCAAAGGAAUUGACGGGGGCCCGCACAAGCGGUGGAGCAUGUGGUUUAAUUCGAAGCAACGCGAAGAACCUUACCAGGUCUUGACAUCCUCUGACACUCCUAGAGAUAGGACGUUCCCCUUCGGGGGACAGAGUGACAGGUGGUGCAUGGUUGUCGUCAGCUCGUGUCGUGAGAUGUUGGGUUAAGUCCCGCAACGAGCGCAACCCUUGAUCUUAGUUGCCAGCAUUCAGUUGGGCACUCUAAGGUGACUGCCGGUGACAAACCGGAGGAAGGUGGGGAUGACGUCAAAUCAUCAUGCCCCUUAUGACCUGGGCUACACACGUGCUACAAUGGACGGUACAAAGGGCAGCAAAACCGCGAGGUCGAGCCAAUCCCAUAAAACCGUUCUCAGUUCGGAUUGCAGGCUGCAACUCGCCUGCAUGAAGCCGGAAUCGCUAGUAAUCGCGGAUCAGCAUGCCGCGGUGAAU
Molecule: ribosomal RNA, 1352 nt
Filed under: Bacillus sp. s7-19
Lineage: Bacteria; Bacillati; Bacillota; Bacilli; Caryophanales; Bacillaceae
Description: bacterial SSU rRNA
Rfam family: Bacterial small subunit ribosomal RNA
Source: RNAcentral